RNAcentral lists this ribosomal RNA (422 nucleotides) under uncultured bacterium. RNAcentral describes it as "bacterial SSU rRNA". It matches the Rfam family "Bacterial small subunit ribosomal RNA", at positions 355 to 774 of the family's 1533-position model. The record is from RNAcentral.
UGAGGAAUAUUGGGCAAUGCCCGCAAGGGUGACCCAGCAACGCCGCGUGGAGGAUGAAUGUCGUAAGAUUGUAAACUCCUGUUAGAGGGGAAGAAUAGUACCGGUUGGACCGGUAUAUGACUGUACCCUCAGAGAAAGCACCGGCUAACUACGUGCCAGCAGCCGCGGUAAUACGUAGGGAGCAAGCGUUGUCCGGAUUUACUGGGUGUAAAGGGCGCGCAGGCGGGAUAAAAAGUCAGUGGUGAAAUCCUACAGCUUAACUGUAGAACUGCCUUUGAUACUUUUAUUCUUGAGUUCGGGAGAGAGAGACGGAAUUCCAGGUGUAGUGGUGAAAUACGUAGAUAUCUGGGAGAACACCAGUUGCGAAGGCGGUCUCUUGGUCCGACACUGACGCUGAGGCGCGAAAGCGUGGGGAGCAAACA